RNAcentral lists this ribosomal RNA (460 nucleotides) under uncultured bacterium. Its description in RNAcentral is "partial 16S ribosomal RNA". It matches the Rfam family "Bacterial small subunit ribosomal RNA", at positions 338 to 795 of the family's 1533-position model. The record is from RNAcentral.
CCUACGGGCGACAGCAGUGAGGAAUAUUGGUCAAUGGACGAGAGUCUGAACCAGCCAAGUAGCGUGAAGGAUGACUGCCCUAUGGGUUGUAAACUUCUUUUAUAAAGGAAUAAAACGAGGCACGUGUGCCUUUUUGUAUGUACUUUAUGAAUAAGGAUCGGCUAACUCCGUGCCAGCAGCCGCGGUAAUACGGAGGAUCCGAGCGUUAUCCGGAUUUAUUGGGUUUAAAGGGAGCGUAGAUGGGUUGUUAAGUCAGUUGUGAAAGUUUGCGGCUCAACCGUAAAAUUGCAAUUGAUACUGGCAGUCUUGAGUACAGUUGAGGUAGGCGGAAUUCGUGGUGUAGCGGUGAAAUGCUUAGAUAUCACGAAGAACCCCGAUUGCGAAGGCAGCUUACUAAACUGUGACUGACAUUGAUGCUCGAAAGUGUGGGUAUCAAACAGGAUUAGAUACCCCAGUAGUC